UCCGAAGGAGAUGUUGCAGUGGUCCUCACUGGAAAUUGUUUUACAUCCGAGGGCUCAUGACCCACAUAAGAGGCGUGUGCUGUCUUUUGCUGUGCUAAACUGGAUGUACAGCCUGGCCUUCAGGACCUUGCUGUACUGAGCUAAUCCCUUGUCUGCAGAAUAAAACUGGCCAGUAACAGAGGAGCUGCAAGCAGCACAGCUAUGUUACCUCUGUGGCCUUGCCUUUACCUCGUGAUGCAGCAAGAAGUUCUCAUGUAAACAUCCCUUCUGUUUGAUAGUAGAAAUGAUAAAUAGCACUGUUUUCUUGGAAGAAAAUUCUGUGACAGCUUGAAGAACCAAAAGGAAGUAACCCUUCCACAAAUGGGGUCUUCAUGGUGUGCUGCCUGUGGAUUGGAGAUGUUCAGUGAUGCACUUCUCAAGGUUCUCACCACUGAAACAGAUCAAUGCAUUUCAACAAGAUGUCACAGAAAACCCACAAUGAUUCCAAAGUGAAGAUCAUCCUGAAUGGGGUUAUUCUGAUUUCACAAGACACAAAUGAACUUAUUAAGAGUUGCUGGCUUUGAAGGUUCUCAGCUGAUUUACCAUUUCAGUUGGAAAUCGAGAAGAGAAAUGAUUCAUUUUUUCAUGGUGACUUCCUUGGAAAGCAUUAUUACUCACUGGUGUACAGCUUCAGUACAUGACUGUCUAAGUGAAGGCAUUUCCAUCACAGUGUUCUCUCCUUGAAGAGUGACUACCAUAGAAUAUUAUUGAUUUGCUUAGUGUAUGAUGAUUCAGAGGUUAGACAGCUCAGAGUACAGCUGUUUUAAAAACUUUAUGUCAAAUAAACUCAAAUACGAUUCUGUAGCAGAAAAGCUCAGGCAUUUUCUGCCCCCUAGUGGAAGUACAAUCUUUAAGUUCUGUAUUUGAUUUGUAUAGAAAUUAUUUCUUUUUGAUCACAAACCAAUGAAAUACAAAUCAAGAAAAAGGAACAAAU
Cyanistes caeruleus (blue tit) is the source of this 973-nucleotide long non-coding RNA. RefSeq lists it as uncharacterized. Lineage: Eukaryota; Metazoa; Chordata; Aves; Passeriformes; Paridae. The record is from RefSeq and is a predicted model, not a curated record.